RNAcentral lists this ribosomal RNA (1440 nucleotides) under uncultured organism. RNAcentral's name for it is "16S ribosomal RNA". It matches the Rfam family "Bacterial small subunit ribosomal RNA". The record is from RNAcentral.
CAGGCUUAACACAUGCAAGUCGAGGGGCAGCAUGGUCUUAGCUUGCUAAGGCCGAUGGCGACCGGCGCACGGGUGAGUAACACGUAUCCAACCUGCCGUCUACUCUUGGACAGCCUUCUGAAAGGAAGAUUAAUACAAGAUGGCAUCAUGAGUCCGCAUGUUCACAUGAUUAAAGGUAUUCCGGUAGACGAUGGGGAUGCGUUCCAUUAGAUAGUAGGCGGGGUAACGGCCCACCUAGUCUUCGAUGGAUAGGGGUUCUGAGGGGAAGGUCCCCCACAUUGGAACUGAGACACGGUCCAAACUCCUACGGGAGGCAGCAGUGAGGAAUAUUGGUCAAUGGGCGAGAGCCUGAACCAGCCAAGUAGCGUGAAGGAUGACUGCCCUAUGGGUUGUAAACUUCUUUUAUAAAGGAAUAAAGUCGGGUAUGGAUACCCGUUUGCAUGUACUUUAUGAAUAAGGAUCGGCUAACUCCGUGCCAGCAGCCGCGGUAAUACGGAGGAUCCGAGCGUUAUCCGGAUUUAUUGGGUUUAAAGGGAGCGUAGAUGGAUGUUUAAGUCAGUUGUGAAAGUUUGCGGCUCAACCGUAAAAUUGCAGUUGAUACUGGAUAUCUUGAGUGCAGUUGAGGCAGGCGGAAUUCGUGGUGUAGCGGUGAAAUGCUUAGAUAUCACGAAGAACUCCGAUUGCGAAGGCAGCCUGCUAAGCUGCAACUGACAUUGAGGCUCGAAAGUGUGGGUAUCAAACAGGAUUAGAUACCCUGGUAGUCCACACGGUAAACGAUGAAUACUCGCUGUUUGCGAUAUACGGCAAGCGGCCAAGCGAAAGCGUUAAGUAUUCCACCUGGGGAGUACGCCGGCAACGGUGAAACUCAAAGGAAUUGACGGGGGCCCGCACAAGCGGAGGAACAUGUGGUUUAAUUCGAUGAUACGCGAGGAACCUUACCCGGGCUUAAAUUGCAGAUGAAUUACGGUGAAAGCCGUAAGCCGCAAGGCAUCUGUGAAGGUGCUGCAUGGUUGUCGUCAGCUCGUGCCGUGAGGUGUCGGCUUAAGUGCCAUAACGAGCGCAACCCUUGUUGUCAGUUACUAACAGGUUCCGCUGAGGACUCUGACAAGACUGCCAUCGUAGGAUGUGAGGAAGGUGGGGAUGACGCCAAAUCAGCACGGCCCUUACGUCCGGGGCUACACACGUGUUACAAUGGGGGGUACAGAGGGCCGCUACCACGCGAGUGGAUGCCAAUCCCCAAAACCUCUCUCAGUUCGGACUGGAGUCUGCAACCCGACUCCACGAAGCUGGAUUCGCUAGUAAUCGCGCAUCAGCCACGGCGCGGUGAAUACGUUCCCGGGCCUUGUACACACCGCCCGUCAAGCCAUGGGAGCCGGGGGUACCUGAAGUGCGUAACCGCGAGGAGCGCCCUAGGGUAAAACUGGUGACUGGGGCUAAGUC